GUAAUUUAAUGAGAUUUGUUUAAAAGUUGGUUUAAACUAAGGCUGGAAAAAUGGUUAGGUCGGGUAGGGUCAUGUAACGGGUCACAACGGCUUUGGUCGGUCAGAAACUGGUCAUUAUAACAGGGGUAUCAGUUUGGGUUGGGUUCAAAUGGCACGUCUUAAAAAAAGGAUUCACAAUAUACUUAGCAGAAUACAAGAAUACUAUUGCAACUAAGACAAUACUGGCAUGUUAGCAUGAUCAGCAGCAUACUAACAAAAACAAAUUCUUCCUACUAGUUUUGAAACCAGAUUAACAGAAGCAGGAACCAUCAAAGAGAAAGAGAGAAGCCACGCGACAGAAAGAAUGCAUAAGAAGAAAGGGAACUGAUUCCAUGGUGGUGUAGUGUUGAAUGUGAGUAAGAUGAAAUAAAAGGUUAUUUGAUUGUGUAUUGGUUUGAGUUGGGGUGGUUUGAGAAUUCCGAUCUAGGGUUCCGCCGCCGACCUAACAAGAGGAUUAUUGAUAAGAUCAAGGAGAAAAUUCACGGCGAAGAUAGCGGAAGCAAGGAAGACUGCUGUGAAGGUGAAAGAAAUAGAAGAAAUAGAAGAAGAGAAGGAAGGUCACCACGACGAUGGCGAUUGAAGUAGUAGCAGCGACAUCUGUUAGAUCUCAACUGUCGCUCAACUGUUUUCCACUAACAACAUUGAUCUAAGCAUUUCAUCUAUUUCAUCUAUGUGGUUUAUGAGGAGUUUAGGGUUUAGUGUAUAUUCUAUUUUGAUGUGUUGUUAUUAUACAAUGCGUGUGGAUUGAGGUUUUAAAUUGGGUUUUCUGUAUACAUACAUAGACAUGGGUAAAAGUAAGAAAUUUUCAUGUGGUUUGUGUAUAUGACUUUAUGGAGUUGAUAACUUUUAAAAUCAACCAAUGGCCAUCCAUAAUGGUUAAAGAAGGUGAUAAAUUGUUGCUUUGUUGGAGUUCAUUUGAAGAAUUGAGUCGUUGCAUUGGUUAGAGAUGGUUGCUUAAUUGAAAGGUUAGACACAAUGCUUGUCGUGGAUAUCCCUAUCAUGUGUUAGUUUCCUUUUCUUCAACCCAACAUUAUCGUUCAUCCACUCCACACAUCCCAACAUCAUUUGCAGCUCAAAAUACUAAUGGCACUUGCAGGUACAGCCCACAAAUGCACGACAUGUGACAAGCAUAUCUACUUGGUGGACAAACUCAUUGCUGUAAUUAUGUCUUCUGCAAAGCUUGCUUGAGAUGCCACCAUUGCAGUGACACACUCGAGCUCAGUAACUACAUCUCCUUUGAGGAUGCUCUUUGUUGCAGGCCACACUUUAAUCAGUUGUUCAAGAAAAAGAAUAGUGGUAGCUUAGACAAGAGCACACUUCAAGUCAUAGUUGAAUGCAACUGCAAAAAAAGAGCAACAAGUGCUGUGGCAGAUGCUAAGUCGGGGAAGCAGGCUGCAACUCCUGAUCCCAAGAAAAAGAAGGGAAAGUGAUUACAAUCUCUGUUUGAUUCAGUUCGAUUUCAUUUUAUGCUUUUAUUUAUUCUAUAAUAAAUAUAGUGGCGUCUUGUAAGUGCAUCCAAAUGAGUCGAUGCUGCCACAGUUGUUUUAAUAUAGAUGUUGCAAUAACUCAAGUUGUCGGCCAGCUUGACAGCUUGACCAACGUUGAUUCUAAAGCCUAUAUUUAAGGUUAUUUUUUGGGAAAACAUUUGUCGUCUGGAUUGUUUAGGUUUAGCGUUAUGCAUACGUGGAAAAAAACA
Helianthus annuus (common sunflower) is the source of this 1735-nucleotide long non-coding RNA. RefSeq lists it as uncharacterized. The transcript is spliced from 4 exons. NCBI's taxonomy places the organism in Eukaryota, Viridiplantae, Streptophyta, Magnoliopsida, Asterales, Asteraceae. The record is from RefSeq and is a predicted model, not a curated record.